AAUGGAGAGUUUGAUCCUGGCUCAGGACGAACGCUGGCGGCGUGCUUCAUACAUGCAAGUCGAACGAGAAGCUCACUUCGGUGAGUGGAAAGUGGCGGACGGGUGAGUAAUGUGUAGAGAAUCUGCCCUUGAGUGGGGGACAACAGCUGGAAACGGUUGCUAAUACCCCAUAUGAGAUAUUUUGCAAUAAAUAUCUUGAAAACUCCGGUGCUCAAGGAUGAGUCUGCAUCUGAUUAGCUAGUUGGGGGUGUAAUGGACCACCAAGGCGACGAUCAGUAGCUGGUUUGAGAGGAUGAUCAGCCACAAUGGGACUGAGACACGGCCCAUACUCCUACGGGAGGCAGCAGUAGGGAAUUUUGCGCAAUGGGCGAAAGCCUGACGCAGCAACGCCGCGUG
Molecule: ribosomal RNA, 396 nt
Filed under: Candidatus Gastranaerophilales bacterium HUM_2
Lineage: Bacteria; Bacillati; Candidatus Melainabacteria; Candidatus Gastranaerophilales
Description: bacterial SSU rRNA
Rfam family: Bacterial small subunit ribosomal RNA
Source: RNAcentral